CCCUCUAUGCUAUUAGAAUAUAUUUUCCUAUUGAUAACCCCGAGUUAUUUUCAUCUGGGCUGCUCUUAACCUCAGUUGGCCAGCCCUCAGGGCCAUGUUUUCUUGACUCCUAACCCAUGGUGUCUCUCUCCCUCUCCCUCUCCCCCUCCCCCUCCCUCUUCCCCUCCCCCUCCUCCUCCCUUUCUCUCCCUCUCUCCCUCCUUCACCUAAUGGUUCUCCUGUGACCCCCAGCCCUGGAAUCCUAAGACCCGUCUAUGUCUCUUCUGCUCAGCUAUUGGUUGUCAGCAUUUUUAUUUACCAAUGAGAAAUAACUUGGAUGUAAGGUCACCUAGGUCUAUAUUAGGACUCUCCAGUCUCUCAGGGAACCAGGUCUUGGUAGCUGCAUUUAGCUUUGCAAAAUACAGCAAAAGACCAGACCUCAGCAGACUUAGGUAAUUCUCUUCAUGUUUCUGGGAGAUCAGAUUGCCACCAAGUAAGAACCAGGUGUGUGUGCUGGCCACAAGAUGCUCACCUGUCCAUACUUACAUGCAUUACUGGGACAAAACCAGUAGUAACCAGUAGAUGUUGCUUGGAUCUGGUAUUUUCAGGUUCCCAGACUUUCAUUCAAGAAAAGGUAGAAACAAACUGCAAAAAAGCAAAGGAGUUUUAUUUAAAAGCAAAGCAAUAGUAAUAGACCAGACAUACCCUGUCAAGAGUGACAGGGGGCCCUGUCUGUCUGUCUGCCUGUCUGUCUAUCUUUCAAUCUAUCUUAUAUGUAAGUGUUUUGCCUCCAUACAUGUAUGUAUACUACCUGCCUGCCCAGUGUCUUCAUCAGAUCCCUUGGGAAGGAGUUGCAGAUGGCUAUGAGCCAUCAUGGGUGCUGGGAACUGAACCCUGAUCCUCUCCAAGUACAGCGUGCAUGUUUAACCACUGAGCUAUCUCUCCAGAACACCCCCUGCCCCCAGUAUCUUAUCAUUUCUGCCUCUUCAUGAAACAGUUCCAAAUGAUUUGGAUGAGAGUGGAUGUGUGUGUAAUCCUGGGGACAUAGGCACCCGGAGGAGUGUCAACACUGGCAUUCCUUUGUAGCCCAGGAGUCAGGGAUGAAUUUAUAUUUGUUACCUACUGUGAAGAAAACUGAGUUGCCCAAAGUCAUUUAGUCACACGCACACACACACAAGCACGCACACACACCAUUUAUACUACUAAUAAGUAAAACUAAAGGAAUUUCUCAUAAAUCUGAUGAAAAGACCCAAACAGAUCAAAUAAUCUAAAUGAAUAGAAGAAACUUAAUGAAGACAUCUGAAGAAGCACUUCCUCUGAAGCGUAAGCAGAGGCCGGACUGUAGCUCCCUGGCACAAGCAAAAGCCCCUUGGUUCUAUCCUCAUUAUCAGCAUUGAAAGAAGUGUGAAUGGGGAAAAGGACUUCCGUCAGAAAUGCUAGCACCCUGAAACCUACUUUCCGUUUUUCCCUGGUAACAUAGUUUCUUCUGCAUACAAAACAGCAGACGCUGCAAAGGAGGAAAACAGCUCAGGGUCUGUGAGCACAGGGUACUUGUGGAUAACCUUGGGAGCUCAUUCUUGACUUCACAAAGAUUUCUUAUAUUCCUCCACCACUCCAUAGUUACAAAAUUCCCAGCUCCUAUCAGUGGGAGGGUAAUAUAGAAAGGAUCAUAACAAGAUAGAUAACAAGAAAACUAUGCCCAGAGGAACAGCUAACAAAAAGGUCUAACACCAAGUAUUGGCGAGGAUGCAGAGCAAAGGAAUCUUUGCCAGCUGCCUGUCUUCUGGGAUCCAGAGCUCCCAGGUAAAGGCAGCCCACUGGGUGGCAGAGAAGUGGCUAAAGGGUUUCAGGCUAUCAGCAUGUGGGCAAACAUUUUGUCCAGUCUCAAGUGGGAAUCUAUCUACUGGCUGCUGAGAUGCAGAGGCCAGAAGCAAAGCACCGGACGGAGGGAUAACAGCCCCUGCACCUUUACUGCAGGGCCAGACAGUGGCAGGAGAUGAUGGAGAAACAAUGUCAUCUGGGUCCAGUUCCAGGGCUGCAGAGCACAGGAGAAGCAGAGGAGGGUAACUUUCUGCCACUCCCAUUGUCUGUGUCCUCACAACUCAAAACACUGAAGGAGAGUUUUCCUGAAUCAUGUCUUUUGAUUUAUUGAUUGUAAAAAAAUGGGGUGCCCGGUGACUAGGGUGCCCAGUGAUUGGGUUAGACGUAUCUUCAGAUUACCCGGGACAGUCACAGUUUGUGCCCACUGGUCUUUCGCCCUCGGAACGGUCCCCUUUUGAAGACUGUUCAUGUGGUCACACCAACUGGAUGUAACGGUUUCUGUCAAGCCCUCCUCCCACUGAUAGGAGCUAGGGAUUUUGUAAGUACCAAAAACAAAACAAAACACAAAUACAAGACAUCUUUGUGAAAUCAAGAAUGAGCUCCCAAGGUUAUCCACAAGUACCCUGUGCUCCCAGACCACGAGCCGUUUUUCCCCUUGUAGAUUCUGUUGAUGCAGAAGAAACUGUGUUGGGGGAGCCUGGAGCGGGGAGAAAGUAGUAAGCAUCAGACGAGAUGCAUUAUUGGAAACUGUCCGUUUGUCUAAAAUAACUACUUUAAUAAGUUAAGAUAAAAAUUCCAGGUGACAUGGUGGUAGUGUUUCAGUACUAUGUUCAAAAGGUGCUAUUUUCCUAUUAGCAAUGUACGAAAAAGCAGUACAUUUUACAAGACAGCAUAGCUUAGAUCAGACAAUUCUAUUUGUCCUCAGGUAUUUUGUAUCCAUCAGACAAUGGCUACGUGCAUUUAAUACUGGUCUAGAGGAGCCGAAAAGAUGGAUCAGUGGUUAAGAGCGCUGGUUGUUCUUCCAAAGAACCUGGGUUUGAUUCCCAGCAACCACAGCCACCACUAGGCUCACAACCAUCUGUAACUCCAGCUCCAGAUCUGAUGCCCUCUAUGGGCUCUGCAGGCCACACACAUAUUUUAUACGUGCAGUCGAAAUGCCCACACAUAUAAAAUAAAUAAUUUAAUAAUUAAAAAAAGACAGAAGUAUCCAUUUUCCCAUCCUCCUGUCAACACUGGAUACUACCAGUUUUUGGAAUGUGUUAGCAUCUGACUAGCUCUCGGCAAUUCCUCAUUUUGACUUCAAUACAGAGGGAAGGGUCCCGUGCUCCUUCAAUUCACAUUUUCUCCACUCUGCAAUCUGCUCACACGUGCAUGAAACUUCGCUGAACUUGGGCCUUGGCGUCUCCUUCUGUCUCAAGAAGAUAAAGGGUCAUUCUCACAUGGCACUAUUGGGGCUCAGGAACCAUGUGGGUAAGGAGGGCACUUAGGCGCGGAUAACCACAAAGCAUUGGAAAAACUUCCAGCAGGUGGCUAUGACAUUUUGUGAUUUUUCUUCUUUCUUUCUAGAUUUAUCGUUUACUUACUUAUAUAAGUACACUGUAGCUGUCUUCAGACAAACGAGAAGAGGGCAUCAGAUCUCAUUACAGGUGGUAAUUGGGCCACCAUGUGGUUGCUGGGAAUUGAACUCAGGACCUCUGGAAGAACAGCCAGUGCUCUUAACCACUGAGUCAUCUCUCCAGCCCACGGUUUUCGUUUAAGAAACAUAGUUUUUAUUUUUUCAAUUCAUUUUUUAUUUACGUGACUGCGUGUCUCUGCGUGUACAUGCCACAUGUGUGAGUGUGUGUGGAUGUCGGAAGGGAGCAUCAGCCCCUCUGCAGCUUGGGUUAUAGGGGGUUGUGAACUGCCUAGCGUAGGUGCUAGGAACUGAACUUGGGCUCUUUGGAGAGAGCAAACGCUCUUAACCUCUGAGCCAACCUUCCAGUUCCAAAGAAAAAAUGAUAAAGGAUGCUUAAAACCCAGGUGCUGUGCUGUACGCCUGUCACAGCAGCCCUUGGGAGGCAGGGGCAGGAGGGUCAGGAAUUCAAGACUAGUGUCUGCUACAUAGCGACUUCGAGGCCAGCCUGGGCACCGUGAGACUUGGUUUCAAGAGAGCAACCAACAAACCAAGGAAAACAAAACCCCUUAAAAUUUUUUGAAGACCUUCCAAUUAAGACAGAAUUGUUCUGGAAGCUCUCGGGUGGGUGUGAUUGGUACCCACAGCGAGUCUCCAACACCAGCUGUCUGUCCAUGAUGGCUGUUCUGGGGCUCCUUGUGCAGGACUUGGCUUCUGUUCAGCAGCAUUUAUGCUUAAUACAUAACCAUAAUGAGACGCUGGCUAAAAAUAAGAAAUGUAAAAAAAAAAAAUCGAUGAAAUAAAGCAAACGAAGACCAUAAAACGGCAGUUCCAUAAAUUCAAACCAAGAUGAUCUCCAUUCACCAGACCCACAGAUUGCAUCCCAGCUAAUCAACAUGUUUGUGUGGCUUCUCACAAUGCCUCUUGUGUAGCAGAAACCAAAGUCCCGGAGAGAAAACAGUGGCCAUUACAUGCUAUUUGGCCUUUCAUUGUCAGGAAUAAACACAGCCAUGGCUCCCUCUUGUAAUUUGCAGCACGCACGCAUACACACACACACACACACACACACACACACACACACACACACACACACAUACACACACACGCAGAGCAAUUGAAACCCUUCCAGUUCAUCUCACCAUUUAAACACAAAAGCAUAGAACUUUAAAAAACAACAUUUUUUUCAGCACAAAAGGCAUAAACUCCAAACAUUCAUUUAAGAAACAGUUUUUGUCUAUUUCUGUUGCCACAAUGAGUCAUUACAUUUCAUACAUUUUAAUAUACAGUACAUUCAUCCCUAUGCCAAGAUGACAUGUUAUUUUAAAACUUAUCUCUUAACACAGCAUGCUUUCCCCUUGCCUUACAUAAUUAAACAUUUUAUUUGUUAUAUGCAAAAGAUCGAGAUUCUUUUUACACUGGACGCGCUGCAAGGUUGAACUACCCUUUUGCACCUAGAGAAAGUUUUAUUUUUCAAAAAUCACUGUCUUAUUAUGUAACAUAUAAUAGUUCAAAUUAUUUCAAGGCAAUGGGGUCGGUGGCUUGGCCGGUAGAACCUGCACUCUGAAGGCAGAGGCAGGAGGAGUGUGUGGCCGGCCUUGGUUCCAUGGGGAGACCAUGUCUUAGUCAACAUCAGUGUGCUGGGAGGAGUUAUGUGGGGAAAUAUUCUCCAGUCGAGAUUCCUGGAUUUAGAGAUAAGGAAAGAUAAGAGACCUGAGCCCCCUUGAAGACGAAGAAAGACCAGUGAGAGCUUUGGUGAGACUCUAGUUCCCUGCUCUCUGGAGGCGAUCAGAAAGGGGCUCAGGAAGUUUUUUUUUUUUUUUUUUUUCCUGUGGUCCUGGCGCCCUCUCUCCGGCUCCUGGCUCAGUAACACCGGGGCCUUAGUCUCUUUGGGACCUAAACUAUUUAAGUUCCCUUUAUGAGGUGCCACCGUUCCGUGUAAACUUCGGGCUCCCCACUAUCUGUAUACAUAUGUACACGCAGUGGCUGAUCCUCUACUGCAAACAGCAGAUACACAACAGGGACUGGGGAACAAAAUUCUCCUCCACCACCUCCUCCCACAUUGGUCUCCUUUCUAAGUAACCUUCCUAUUUUUUUUCCUUUUUAAAUAUUUAUUUAUUUUUUAAGAUUUUGUAGAUGUAUUUGUCUGUGCAUGCCGCAGCCCGCCCCGGAAUUGGAGUUAAGAAGGAUUGUGAGCCAAGUCGACUCGACGUUCUCGGCGAGAGCAGUACUCCUAACCUCUGAGCUCGCUCGCUAGUCUCCUCGUAUUUUCAUAAACUACAUUGUUUUUACGUUCUGUAAAGAGGAAAGGGGCCUCACAAAGUGCGUAGUGGCCCAGAAGUCAUAAUAUGGGCCUCGGUCCUGUGUUCGAUUUUUCUGGUUUUAAGAAAGAAACGGAUAUUCUGAACUUCCUGGCUCUUUUGGUUUUAAACGUUGAAACUUUUAGGAUGGGAAGAAAGGAAGCACCAGCAGCUCGUACCCCCAGGACCCUCGGGCUGAGAAGCCGAGCUAGGCUCCGCUGCCCGGCCUCGCGCCAUCGGAAGGGCGGGCCGGGGAUCCGGGUUCGCUUCCCGGAGCGGAUGGGAGCCGCGCGGCGACUCUGUCCGCCCCUGCCUGGCUUGUCUGCGCGUGCGGGGGGCUGGGCCGGCCGGAGCGAGGCCUCGCGGAGGGCGCCGCCCCUUCCCCGCGAGCUCGGCGGUGCGAGCUCGAUCCCGCAGACUCCCCCCGGACUCCCGACACUGGCUCACAGUCCUCAGUCCGGUCCCACGUUGCGGGAAGCUGGGGUCCGAGCGGCGCCCGCAGGCGGCGGAUGCGCAUGCUCCACCGACGCCUUGCCGGGUCUGAUAGAGCCUUCGCAAGGCGGCCACAGCGGAGCUCCAGUGGCGCAAUCGGUUAGCGCGCGGUACUUAUACAGCAGUACAUGCAGAGCGAUGCCGAGCCAGUGCGGAAAACAGCUCGUUCUGAAGCUCUGCACUCGGUUUCCGAGCUGCCGUGUAGCUACUGCGCAGCAUCCAGCAGUUGAAGCCAGCCGACAGCAUACUCCCCUUCCUGAUCCUUAGGCCGCCGUUUAAACGGCUUCAGGACCCCGGAUGCAGACCGAAGUCCCCUGUGCUCUCUGAUGCCCGGCGGCUUCCUGCCAGCGCAGAGGACGCCACAGCUCCCGCUGCUGCCCCCGCCCGAGCCCGGAUCCAACCCACUGCUUCCGGGUGACUUCCCAGGACCAAACGGACUAGGGGUAUGGGACCCUGGGUGAGGGAUUUGCCCCAUUCUCUGGCAUUAGCCCCCUUCCACACCGCCUGCAGCUCGCCCCCCCCCCCGCCCCGACAGCCCUCCCCUGCAUCCGGUUCAAGGCACCCUGCCCUCCCCCGCGUUUGCAGUUGGGGACAAACGUCCGGGAAAUUUCCAUUCUCCCUUCCUAAAGCCCUGCUAUCACUCUGGAACCUCUGGCCUUCUCAGCUAGCUCCGGAUCCAGCCUAGAAGGAUGUCAGGAGUCCCUCACUUCAGCUAAUCCUCACACUCAGUGACACACCCUCCCAUACCUUCCGCUCACUGACUCAAGCCCGGGAGGAUGGAGGCUUAAUUCCUCUAAACAAAUGCAUUCUAAGCCUGGAAGUAAAUGUAAGCGCCGUGAAAAAUAAAAGGGUUGCUUAUUAAAACAAGCAAACAAACAAA
Molecule: non-coding RNA, 7081 nt
Organism: Rattus norvegicus (Norway rat)
Lineage: Eukaryota; Metazoa; Chordata; Mammalia; Rodentia; Muridae
Source: RefSeq, a predicted model, not a curated record